Phoenix dactylifera (date palm) is the source of this 1029-nucleotide non-coding RNA. NCBI's taxonomy places the organism in Eukaryota, Viridiplantae, Streptophyta, Magnoliopsida, Arecales, Arecaceae. The record is from RefSeq and is a predicted model, not a curated record.
GAUUUUCGGAUUUAAAAAAAAAUAAAAAUAAAAAGAGAAAAGGGAAAAGGAUUUCACUGUUCAUCUUUUUCCUUGUCCUCCCCGUAAGCUUCAUCUUCCAACCGCAUGAGUCAUCUUCUUCCUUAUCAUCUUCCAAAGCAUUGAUGUGCUUUGGGGCCAGCGUGACAUGUCAUUGCUGAUGAAUAAGAGUGAAGCAUGUUUCUCACACUUUUUCUAUAUCGAAAACAACCAAACGAACAUGAGAGGUCAGUUUGAAAGAUGCUUUUCUUCUUUUGCACUGAACGUUUGGGAAUACAAUCUACUUAGAGAGCAAGCUAGGUAUGUAUUGAUGUAGUAAGGGGUGCACUUCGAGAAGAGGAGAAUCUACUGCAAAAGUUGGGAAUAUAAAACCACACACUUUCCAGGUCUUGGCUAUUCUCUGAAGCAACAAGAACAAUCAUACCUUUACUUGCAAGUAUUGGUUUGGCACUAAUUUUUGUGGAUUUAAUUAAGCUAGAUCUUGUGCUGUGGGAUUCACCUUGUUGGAGAAUCUGGAGGCCAGAUCCAAGUGUCUCGAACCCACCAGGCUCACAGAUCUUUCAGAUUUAGCAACAAGCAUUUGGGAUGUCAUUAGGAUUGGUUAGUCAUGGUGAAGAAUGGAAUAUUGGAAUACUAGCUAUUUCAGUCAUCUUAGAAGGUGACUCCGCUAUAGUCAUCAUCUGGAUCCAAAAGGGUCCGAGGGCCGCUGCCGGCGGCCAUCUAUUGUUUCGCGAUAUUUGGAUGAUAAUGAGAGAUGGAGGAGUUGUCCAGACUACGCAUAUGUUUAAAGAAGCCAAUAGAGCUGCAGAUUGGAUGACCACCCACGCAGCCAACUAUACCGUUAGCACCGUGUGGGCAGAGGAUAGGGAGCUACCUUGGAAGCUCCGUGACAUUCUAUUUUCCAACUUUAUUAAGUGUAUUCGUACACGUGUUGUAUAAAUUUUCCGUCUUAGCUCAAAAAAAAGGAACGAAAUAUUCAUCUGACUAAUAUAAUCCAAAUGUUGAUAGCCU